UAAGGAAUAUUGGUCAAUGGACGCAAGUCUGAACCAGCCAUGCCGCGUGCAGGAAGACGGCCCUACGGGUUGUAAACUGCUUUUGUACCGGAAUAAACUUUGAUACGUGUAUCAAGCUGAAUGUACGGUAAGAAUAAGGAUCGGCUAACUCCGUGCCAGCAGCCGCGGUAAUACGGAGGAUCCAAGCGUUAUCCGGAUUUAUUGGGUUUAAAGGGUGCGUAGGUGGCCUAUUAAGUCAGGGGUGGAAGACGGUAGCUUAACUAUCGCAGUGCCUUUGAUACUGAUGGGCUUGAAUACACUUGAGGUAGGCGGAAUGUGACAAGUAGCGGUGAAAUGCAUAGAUAUGUCACAGAACACCAAUUGCGAAGGCAGCUUACUAAAGUGUUAUUGACACUGAGGCGCGAAAGCGUGGGGAUCAAACAGG
This 424-nucleotide ribosomal RNA is filed under the name uncultured bacterium. RNAcentral's name for it is "bacterial SSU rRNA". It matches the Rfam family "Bacterial small subunit ribosomal RNA", at positions 355 to 776 of the family's 1533-position model. The record is from RNAcentral.